Schistosoma mansoni is the source of this 78-nucleotide non-coding RNA. The record is from Rfam. Lineage: Eukaryota; Metazoa; Platyhelminthes; Trematoda; Strigeidida; Schistosomatidae.
AGCUUUCUGAUUUCAUGUCGAGAUUUCUUCAAACAUCAACCCACAAGGGCUGGUGAGACUUUCAACAAAAAUGAAGCU